GAAACCAACAGGGAUUGCCUCAGUAACGGCGAGUGAAGCGGCAAAAGCUCAAAUUUGAAAUCUAGCACUUUCAGUGUUCGAGUUGUAAUUUGAAGAAGGUAACUUUGGUUUUGGCUCUUGUCUAUGUUCCUUGGAACAGGACGUCACAGAGGGUGAGAAUCCCGUGCGAUGAGAUGCCCAAUUCCAUGUAAAGUGCUUUCGAAGAGUCGAGUUGUUUGGGAAUGCAGCUCUAAGUGGGUGGUAAAUUCCAUCUAAAGCUAAAUAUUGGCGAGAGACCGAUAGCGAACAAGUACAGUGAUGGAAAGAUGAAAAGAACUUUGAAAAGAGAGUGAAAAAGUACGUGAAAUUGUUGAAAAGGGAAGGGCUUGAGAUCAGACUUGGUAUUUUGCGUUCCCUUCCUUUUUGGUUGGGUUCCUCGCAGUUUACUGGGCCAGCAUCGGUUUGGAUGGUAGGAUAAUGACAUUGGAAUGUAGCUUUACUUCGGUGAAGUGUUAUAGACUUUGUUGAUACUGCCUAUCUAGACCGAGGACUGCG
RNAcentral lists this ribosomal RNA (534 nucleotides) under Dujonia zeylanoides. RNAcentral describes it as "eukaryotic LSU rRNA". It matches the Rfam family "Eukaryotic large subunit ribosomal RNA", at positions 61 to 599 of the family's 3401-position model. The record is from RNAcentral. Lineage: Eukaryota; Fungi; Ascomycota; Pichiomycetes; Serinales; Debaryomycetaceae.